CUCGCUACGGUGGAACAUACUAAAAUUUGAUCGAUACAGAGAAGAUUAGCAUGGCCUCUUCAAAAGGAUUACAUGCAAAUCCGUGAAGCGCUCCGUAUUUUU
Small nuclear RNA from Danio rerio (zebrafish), 102 nucleotides. The record is from Ensembl. NCBI's taxonomy places the organism in Eukaryota, Metazoa, Chordata, Actinopteri, Cypriniformes, Danionidae.